UUUAAUUGCUUUAAGUAUUUGGAUUUUAAGUAUGUUUUUGUUGAUUAAGUCACUUUCUUAUGAAUAGUAACUUGGUUUUAUUGUUUUUGCAAGUGCUCGAUUAAACUUUGUCAAAACGGAGAAGAAAAUUGAAGUCCAUACUCAAGGCAGACCGUUUGGCAUUACAGCCAUGGAAGAAUUGGCGUUGCGUCGGCAAAGAGUGAUGAGGCACCAUACAAUUUUUAGCAAGUGUGGCACUGCAGCACUAAAGAAGUAAGGUCGUGAUGCCAAAAAAUUGAGGGUGUGACAUUGUGUUGGUAUCUUGGACAGAGGCUGUUCUGUGUUGGCUCAAAUUAGGUUUUUUGAAAGUUAUUUAAAAGGAAUCUUUGGAGCAAUUAAAAGAAAAAAUUAAGUUAGGGUUUUCUUUGAAGAAAAAGUAGCUUUAAGCACUUAAGAAAGCGAAGAAAAACUUUGGAAGAUUGAAGAUCGAAGACCUUACAAGCUUUAGUUUUCUUUUCUUCUCUAUUUCAUCUUUGAUUUUAUUAAAUUGUUA
Molecule: long non-coding RNA, 532 nt
Filed under: Theobroma cacao (cacao)
Lineage: Eukaryota; Viridiplantae; Streptophyta; Magnoliopsida; Malvales; Malvaceae
Description: long non-coding RNA (TCAC_LNC003005)
Source: RNAcentral